This 615-nucleotide ribosomal RNA is filed under the name Meyerozyma caribbica. RNAcentral's name for it is "partial large subunit ribosomal RNA". It matches the Rfam family "Eukaryotic large subunit ribosomal RNA", at positions 37 to 668 of the family's 3401-position model. Lineage: Eukaryota; Fungi; Ascomycota; Pichiomycetes; Serinales; Debaryomycetaceae. The record is from RNAcentral.
UGCAUAUCAAUAAGCGGAGGAAAAGAAACCAACAGGGAUUGCCUUAGUAGCGGCGAGUGAAGCGGCAAAAGCUCAAAUUUGAAAUCUGGCACCUUCGGUGUCCGAGUUGUAAUUUGAAGAUUGUAACCUUGGGGUUGGCUCUUGUCUAUGUUUCUUGGAACAGGACGUCACAGAGGGUGAGAAUCCCGUGCGAUGAGAUGCCCAAUCCUAUGUAAGGUGCUUUCGAAGAGUCGAGUUGUUUGGGAAUGCAGCUCUAAGUGGGUGGUAAAUUCCAUCUAAAGCUAAAUAUUGGCGAGAGACCGAUAGCGAACAAGUACAGUGAUGGAAAGAUGAAAAGAACUUUGAAAAGAGAGUGAAAAAGUACGUGAAAUUGUUGAAAGGGAAGGGUUUGAGAUCAGACUCGAUAUUUUGUGAGCCUUGCCUUCGUGGCGGGGUGACCCGCAGCUUAUCGGGCCAGCAUCGGUUUGGGCGGUAGGAUAAUGGCGUAGGAAUGUGACUUUGCUUCGGUGAAGUGUUAUAGCCUGCGUUGAUGCUGCCUGCCUAGACCGAGGACUGCGAUUUUAUCAAGGAUGCUGGCAUAAUGAUCCCAAACCGCCCGUCUUGAAACACGGACCA